This is a long non-coding RNA of Apis florea (little honeybee), 395 nucleotides long. RefSeq lists it as uncharacterized. The record is from RefSeq and is a predicted model, not a curated record. NCBI's taxonomy places the organism in Eukaryota, Metazoa, Arthropoda, Insecta, Hymenoptera, Apidae.
AAAAAAUAUAAAAAUUUAAAAAUAUACAAAUUUAUAUAAAUGUGUAAUUUUUACUAGAAGUUAUGGCAUAAAAUAUUGAAAUUCAGUUAAAAUAUAUCAUUGUAUAGUAGUUACAUUGGUCGCCAUAUUGGUUUUUUUCACUACCUGAGUUUAUAGAAACAAUAGAUAUUAAAUUAAUGGAAUGCUCAAUUCGCUAUGGAUAAAUACAUCCCAAAAUAUUCGCAAACAUUGGUUUAACAAUAAUAUGCAUAUGGUGCCAUUAGAAGAGGAAAUAGAAACAGAUUUUUUAUAAAACUACUGAACAAAAAAAAUGAAUGAUAUCACAGAGAAUAUGACGGUUAACGUAAUCUGUAAAAUAAAAUAUUUUUUUACACACGCAUAACUUUUGAUUUCAU